GAUGAACGUUGGCGGCGUGCCUAAUACAUGCAAGUCGAGCGAACGGACGAGAAGCUUGCUCCUCUGACGUUAGCGGCGGACGGGUGAGUAACACGUGGAUAACCUACCUAUAAGACUGGGAUAACUUCGGGAAACCGGAGCUAAUACCGGAUAAUAUAUUGAACCGCAUGGUUCAAUAGUGAAAGACGGUUUUGCUGUCACUUAUAGAUGGAUCCGCGCUGCAUUAGCUAGUUGGUAAGGUAACGGCUUACCAAGGCAACGAUGCGUAGCCGACCUGAGAGGGUGAUCGGCCACACUGGAACUGAGACACGGUCCAGACUCCUACGGGAGGCAGCAGUAGGGAAUCUUCCGCAAUGGGCGAAAGCCUGACGGAGCAACGCCGCGUGAGUGAUGAAGGUCUUCGGAUCGUAAAACUCUGUUAUUAGGGAAGAACAAAUGUGUAAGUAACUAUGCACGUCUUGACGGUACCUAAUCAGAAAGCCACGGCUAACUACGUG
This 497-nucleotide ribosomal RNA is filed under the name uncultured bacterium. Its description in RNAcentral is "partial 16S ribosomal RNA". It matches the Rfam family "Bacterial small subunit ribosomal RNA", at positions 28 to 507 of the family's 1533-position model. The record is from RNAcentral.